GGGCCGGGGGCGAGAGCCGGGAGGGCAGGGCGCGGGGCUGCCCGGGCCUCGGCCUUCCCGCCCCCCGGGCGCCUCGGGACCGCCGCCUGCCCCGGCCGGGAGCUUUGUUCUUUCUCCCCAACUACCUGUCUGAGCAGCGGGCCGGAGGGGGCCGAAGGAAAGGGCCCCCGCUCCGGGAGGGGCUCCCCAUCAGCAUCCGAGGGGCGCGCUCGGGGAGAAUGGGGUAGCGCCGCGCCUCCCUGUCUGCCUCCCUCCCUGCCUUUCCUCUUCUGUCUUCUCUUUUGUUGCCUCUACUCUUGGACACGACACAGCCUUUGCUGUACCCCCUCCCACUUGGGAGUUUGCAGUGUGGACGCACAGCGAACACAACUGGCCUGCGAAGGGUUGCAGUUAUGACAGUGCCGAUGACAGCUUCCAUCUGUGUGGUGCCCUGGCAUUCGGGAACCUUCCAUCAUCUGACUGGCCUGUGGCAUCAGGGAGGGGAGGGGGCAGUGGCCUGUGCAAGGCAGCCAUGACGGGGACAGUCAGGAGGAGAGGCCCUGCCCAUCUGCCUUUCCAGACUUGAGAUCAGAUGUGGCUUCUCUUUGGCUUCAGAUUUGGAAGCUGAAGUUCAGGUCAGCACUCAAGAUCUCCAGGGCCCUAUUCAGUGGCCCUGGAAUGACACUGCAGCGUCCCUGAAGUCAUCCUUGGAGUCCCGGGGAGUGGGGACCCACAUGCUGUGGCCAGAGUAGGGCAGGUAUCCAUCUGCCACUGACAGUGCUGUGAACGAACGCUGAGUUGCCAGCUUUGGAAUUACGUGGCUCCUGACAGGCUCUAGAAUGUGGUGUGAUGUGUAUUAUUUAAAUUCUGUGCAAAAAAUCAGACUUUUUAGCAUUUCCACGGAAAAUUUUGCAUACCUCUCUUAUUGAAUAUGAAUACACUGGUUUUAGCUUUUUACCAAGCCCAGCACCAUUCGUGUCACUAGGUUGUUGUUGAGAAAUGAAAGAGCAUGAGCCUGUGAUGAAGAUGUGCACUGUCCUUAGAAGCCAUUCUUGUAACAUCAAAAGGAUCAGCUUGUUCUAUCUUGGGGCACUGGGAAUAAACAGAGGCUUCUAGAUUAGAAAAGGAAGCCCACCAAGAGAGGGCAACAUUGGCCAACGGGGACUUGCUGUGUGGCACGGAGAACUUUACCCAAUAUUCUGUGAUUAUCUUUGUGGGACGAGAACCUGAAAGAGAACAGGUGUGUGUCUACAUACGACAGGGUCACUUUGUUGGACAGCAGAAAUGAUCACAACCUUGUAAAUGACCUUCACACCAAUAAAACAAACAAACAAAAGAACUUGAGAUAACA
This 1330-nucleotide long non-coding RNA is filed under the name Sus scrofa (pig). Its description in RNAcentral is "lncRNA (ENSSSCG00015037176.1)". The record is from RNAcentral. Lineage: Eukaryota; Metazoa; Chordata; Mammalia; Artiodactyla; Suidae.